AAAUAAGAUAAUGAUGCCUGUCAAAUGAGCAACCCUCAGCCUUCCCUCCGUCUACAGCUACAGGGAAUGGGAAGUAGCCAUGAGAAGCCCUGGGGCUGCUGGAUACUCUGCAAGGCCAUCCUCCUGUAACUAAGGUCACUGUAUUGCACUGUCAAAUCCAAACGUAUCUUAGCUGGAAAGACCUGCCCAUCACCUAUCAACCCCUUCACUUCAUAAACGUGUCUUCAAGGUUCACAAAGACUGGCCCCAGCAUCAUCGCAUGGACCCUUGUGACGCUCUGGAAGGUAGGGCAGGCGUCAGUAUUUCUAUUUCAGGUGAGACAGUGAACUCAGACCCUAUUCAGUGAUUCACCCAAGGUCACAGACAGCUUGUCUGUCAGGGAGAAGGAGCCUGAACCCUGGUUGUAUCCUCUGAGUUUGGUAUCUGACCAUUGCCAAUCUUACCAAGCAGGACAUGAAACUCUUCAAGGCGAGGUAGCUUCUCGUGGUUACCUAGGGGAUGAGUACCAGGGUUGAGACUUGAGAGUGCAGAACACUGAUUAUUUAGCAGUGCCAAGGUGAGCAGCCUUGCUCAAGGCACGGAUGGACAAAUGUUGCCCAGGACAGCAUCCUGCUUUCUUCCUUCCUGUCCCUGAACGUCCCAGGGAUUUAACCAUCUCCCUUUUCCCAUUACUCCCACCUAUUUUCCAACUUGGAUUCCACUGAAGGAGAUGCCACAAAACCUUUCUUCUCCUCACUUUCAUCCUGGGAAUCAGGAUCAGCCUUUCAGUUUGUUUUUGUUUGUUUGUU
This 788-nucleotide long non-coding RNA is filed under the name Homo sapiens (human). Its description in RNAcentral is "HSALNT0030156". Lineage: Eukaryota; Metazoa; Chordata; Mammalia; Primates; Hominidae. The record is from RNAcentral.